This 238-nucleotide unclassified non-coding RNA is filed under the name Rhizophagus sp. (in: glomeromycetes). RNAcentral's name for it is "partial contains 5.8S ribosomal RNA and internal transcribed spacer 2". The stretch from base 1 to 65 matches the Rfam family "5.8S ribosomal RNA", at positions 84 to 154 of the family's 154-position model. The record is from RNAcentral. Lineage: Eukaryota; Fungi; Glomeromycota; Glomeromycetes; Glomerales; Glomeraceae.
GUGAAUCAUCAAAUUUUUGAACGCAAAUUGCACUCUCUUCGGAGAGUAUGCCUGUUUGAGGGUCAGUAUUAAUAAAAAUCGGUGUGUUGCUUCUUUGUGACGCUCCGGAGUUUGGGUCAUCUUAAUAUCCUUUAGGUUUUAAGAGGCUUAAAAUUGACUUUUUUUGCACAUUUUAGAUGUACAUAAAUUCUUUUUUUAUUUGGUUGGUUUUAUUCUCAAAAUUCUAUUAGAAGCUACC